RNAcentral lists this small nuclear RNA (190 nucleotides) under Oncorhynchus kisutch (coho salmon). Its description in RNAcentral is "U2 spliceosomal RNA (ENSOKIG00005036305.1)". It matches the Rfam family "U2 spliceosomal RNA". Rfam says of the family: U2 is a small nuclear RNA (snRNA) component of the spliceosome (involved in pre-mRNA splicing). Lineage: Eukaryota; Metazoa; Chordata; Actinopteri; Salmoniformes; Salmonidae. The record is from Rfam by way of RNAcentral.
AUCGCUUCUCGGCCUUUUGGCUCAGAUCAGUGUAGUAUCUGUUCUUAUCAGUUUAAUAUCUGAUACGUCCCCCAUAGGGGGACUACAUAUUAAAUGGAUUUUUCGAACAGGGAGUCGGAAAUGGGGCUUGCUCCGUCCGCUCCACGCAUCGACCCGGUAUUGCAGUACCUCCGGGAACGGUGCAACACUU